Molecule: long non-coding RNA, 1177 nt
Filed under: Homo sapiens (human)
Lineage: Eukaryota; Metazoa; Chordata; Mammalia; Primates; Hominidae
Description: HSALNT0382838
Source: RNAcentral
UCAACAGCUGCAAAGGCAAAGGGAUUGGCCUCCUGGGCAGAAAGGGGCCAAAAGGGAGGGCCCUUUGGAGGAGCGUGGCUCUGGUGAGGGGUGGAGGUGAGACCCACACUUAUGCUCUGAUGCCUUGCAACUGAUUUCCUCCAGAUACAAACAGGGCAGCUGAAUGGGGAGAUGGCCUCCCCCAUCAGAGGCAGUUCCCAGCCAGCUUCCUUGGAUGGCCACACAGGAAUCACUCCACACACCAUCCCUGAGAAGCAGAACCACAGGGAAACCUCUUGUCCCUCUGGAAACUCAGUUACAAUCAGUUCAGCACUUGAAGGAAGGAUCUCGAAACAUUACAGCCCGAAGAACAAGAGGGUGAAACUGUGGAGGCCUCAGCAUCUUCUACCCAGAGUGUGCCCAAGCUAUACCCUGGGGCAGCCACCAGCAUCAAGAGCUUCAGGCCAGUAGGGAGCUAGGGGACCUCUUGGUCCCAUUUCCUUGAUAACAUCAGAAAUCUGAAGAACAACUCUCCAGCAAGGCACGGGCUUCAACUGAAGCCCUCUUCCCAAGUCAUACUAAAACAAGAACUGACCCCAGCUGCGGGUGCUUCUCUCUGCCCGCACAUCCCUCUUCCAGCCUGCUCCAUAUGCAGCCCCACACAGUGGGGGUUCCUGUUGGGAUUGUGUGUCUGGGGCAAGUGACCUUACCACCCCAAGCCUCCAUUUCCUCAGAAGUCAAACAGGGAUGGGGAUGCUGACUUUCCGGGCAUGUUUUGCUGUUUCCAAAUGGAAAUAGUUAAACACCUCGGCUGGAUCGCGAGCAGUCCCUAUCUGUCACCUUCCCUGCCGGCUAAGCGCUGCCGCCGCUGCCACCGCCGCUGCCGCCUCUGCCAAAGAAUCGAACCUCGUCUACUUUAUUCCACUUGAGCGUGGCCAAACUGUUGCUAUUUAGUGGGGAGCAAAAAAAAACAAUUUGCACCAUCGAAACGAGCCAGCAACUGGUUGGGAGGCGGGCGGUAGCUGGGCCCCGCGUGCCCUCGGCGGCCGGGGUCCUCUCCGGGGAGAGGCACACACACGCAUAGCCGGAUCGCGCCUCGCCAGGGCCGGAGUCACCUGGAAUGCGCAGCCGGAGAGCAUCUCCCGAGCCAGAGCGAGCCUGACGCGCGCCCAGCGGGCGGCGGGCAGCGGCGAGCUGG